GUCUUUUAUCUUCAGUGCUUUUUCCUGAUGCUGUUAUGUGUGUAGGUUAUUUUCCUUGUGUGGAGGUUGCACAGGAAAAAUACCUGUCUGGUUUUAUUUUCCUUUUAGAAUUUAUGCUGCUAUUUUAUUGUUUUUCAUUUUAAAGUUUUAGCUGUGGGGUGGGACGGGGUUGCUCCUCUGCUUGGUGUAUAGGUUUAGCUAAUAGAAGACUCUUUAUUAAUUAGAGGUCAGACUGCCUCUGGGCUUUUUUUUAAUAACUUUUAGUUAAUGUUGUGGGGAAGCUGGGCUUUUUGUGGUCUUGGAAACGUAACAGUGUGUAUGUAUGUGUGUGUAUUUUGUUGUGUGUAUGUGUGUUUUUGUUUCAGGAGCAAGUGUGUCUAGAAAGAGCCUAGCAUUCACAAAGUGUACGAUUUGAUUUUGAUUUUUAAUUGCAUAUUAUUAACCCAGAGGCAGCACAUUUUUAUUAGUGUUAUUAUUUAUUAUAUCUUUCUUUUUAGUUAAUUUAAUGUUUGUAUUCCUUUUAUUCUUUGUACCAGGAUUUUUUUUCCCAUCACCAGUUACAAGUUCGCAGGAUUAUGCUUGCGUCUGUGUCUGCUAAUUUGCUACAUCAUAAUAGCUAAAGGUGAAUCUUAAUGUAUCAUUAAUUAUGAUCUACAGUAUGGAGUCCGUGCUUGUUUGGCCACUUUGCAAACCUGUUAUUCAAUACAAAAUGAUGAUUAAAUUCUUAUGAGAUGCCACUCUUCAUGUAUUAAAUGUCUUUUGGGGCACAUUCCUACACUGUAUUUCAUAUUUAUCAUAUAUACUGGUUUCCUGUUCUUAUCUUCUUUUUUCUUUCCUGUUAAUCAUCAGGUAGCCUUCCGAGGUGGCCGUCCAACUGCGGUCUGGAGUGUGGGGCCUCCCUGCUGCUACGGAGUCGGGGCGGUCUGCUUCUCCCCACCGCAGGGAAAAGGGUAACACCACCUGGGUCUGGGUGCAGUUCCCCCCUCCAGGGGCAAGGGUACCUAGACCCGGUUCAUAGAGUACGCUUGGGGAGUGUGAUCGUGUGUACAGUGUCUCUUUAGAAUCAGAAUCAGAAAGGGUUUUAUUGCCAAAUGUUGAGCAGGUUUACAACAUUAGGAAAUUGCUGCGGUGCUUUAUAUCUGUCUCCACGUUGGUUGAGUGUGGAGUAAGUGCAUAUGAGAGCAUGAGGGUGGGAAUGGAUGUUUGUGUCUGUGUGUGCCUGUAUGUCUGUGUCUAUAUGUCAGGUUGGGUAUCAGACGCCACCUCUCUGGGGACAUCUCAGGCCCUCCAAGGUUUGGAGGCCUAUCUCCACCCACCACCACUUCCCCUGCCAGUGGCGGACUCCCUCAGGUAUCGGUGCGUUGGUGGUUCUUUGUGUCUGGGGAUGGGCGUCCGGGUGCACACCGGCUCACUCCUUGGCGGCCGCUUAUCGGGGCCUGGAGCCUGGGGCUCGCUCGGGCCACUUCGGAGGUGGGGUGCCCCCGGCCUCUCGGCCUGGGGCUCGGUCACUCAGGCACAGCUGGCUGCCGGCGGAGCUCACGGGCGCGUCACUGCAACUCCCCCUGGCUUCUACUCCGCGGCUGCUGAGUGAGCCCUCAUCUGGGACUCUCCUCAGCUCUUACUGGGACAGUGGCGCGGCUGCCCCUCUGUUGGUCUUCCUUGGUCUCUUGUGUUCUGGGGGCCUCUGGAUGUCUGGAGUUUUGAUCUCCUCAUGCUCUGGAGGACGGGGCUGUGGCUCCCCACACUCCCUAGCAGAUCAUUACAUGGAGAAACCUUUGGAAUGCAAGCAUGCUGAUCCACACAGGUGUACACACGGGUAUUCACAGACGCGGACUACAGCUUUCUUGGCUGCUGCCUCAAAGCACAUUGUGCGCUGUCUAUCUUGCGUGCUGCACAAUAUCGUUUAUUAUUUAGUAUCUACUGAUAUCUACUGCUAGCUAGUUUAUUGUGAUGGUGCUGUUUUUUUUAUUAUGUUGCUCUUUGUUGUUUGCUUUCUCUUCUGUUUUUUUUCUCCAUACAGGUGACCCAGGUGUUUUGUUUGUUUUUUUGUUUGUUUGUUUGUUUUUUUCUUCCCCACCUUCUCACCGUCUCUUCUCCCCUUUGGUUUUCUUUCUCUCCCUCUCUUUCUUUCAUUCUUUCUCCCUGUCCUAUCCCCCAGUCAUGUCUGUCCCGUUUGUAGCAACUGAAAAUAAAAUAAAUUCAUAAUUAUAAUAAAGGUCAAUCAAAUGGACCAAUAUGGCAAGGCCAUGAUGAUCCACUUGGUAAAAUAAAUCCGCUUGGCAUCUUUCUUGGCCUUAAGACAACAAUUCUGAUGGCUAAAGAUCCAAACGGGACACGAAAAAAAAAAAAAUCAUCAGGUAGCCUAGCAAUCAAAAUUGUCCCCAUGUAAAAGACUGAAUUCUUAGUCCCACGGUCAGCUCUUUAUUAUCUCAAAUUAAUAUGUGAUCCUUUACUUUCGCUCCAUUCUAAAGGACAAAACUCACAUUUUAGCCACACAACCUGUGCAAACUGCUUGGAAGGCUUUCUCAAUCUGUUUUUCUUUUGCUUUCAAAUAGGCCUCUGCAAAGUUUCAAUGAACUUUGCUCUUUACUCGAAUAACAACAAAGAGAGUUGAGCGACUCGGAGAGGCCAAGGCAUGGCAAGAGUCACACACUGCCAAUAACCCAUCUAACACCCACGCUGUGAACCAACUCUGAGGCUCUUUUACAAAUUGACAGGCAAGGACUUCAGGAACAAAAACUACUCAAAAUCAAAAGCGAAGCUGUUGCAGAAUCAAUACUUCACAAGACGACACCAAGACAGAGUCCGUGGGCUACAUUUCUGUCUUCACCCCCAGCGCUCCAAACGCGCUUGAUUAUGAUUUUCCAUCAACAAAACAUUCUAACACCUCCUCCUUGGAGACCCUGACUCACAUCUCUCCUUGGAAGCUAUGCAGCUCUCCAGCUAUUCCAACUGAUUGCAAGCACAACUUUUGAUUAUAUCCCUACUACACAGUGUCCUCCUCUCAAGCCUGCUUAACCUGCACGUACACCAUGCAUGCGAGCACAAACACACACAUGCACACAGCCCC
Astatotilapia calliptera (eastern happy) is the source of this 3070-nucleotide long non-coding RNA. The record is from Ensembl. Lineage: Eukaryota; Metazoa; Chordata; Actinopteri; Cichliformes; Cichlidae.